Molecule: long non-coding RNA, 460 nt
Organism: Rhinolophus ferrumequinum (greater horseshoe bat)
Lineage: Eukaryota; Metazoa; Chordata; Mammalia; Chiroptera; Rhinolophidae
Exons: 4
Source: RefSeq, a predicted model, not a curated record
ACUGCACACUUUUUUGGUAUCUUGAUGGUGAGGAGUAGAAUGAGGGGACACAGAUAAUGGAUGUUGGGAAAGAGUUUAUUAGAGGUGAGAGCCAUCUCAGCCAGGGACUGCCUUCUUCCAGCUCCUGCCAACCUCCUUCACAUAGAUCAAUGCCAUGGACAUCGUGACAAGUUGGGGAAGCAUGGACAUUGGAAUUUGCUGGUUCAUCUUUGGGGGUUUAGAGAGAAGUUCCCAACCUUGGAGCAGACUUCAGCUUUAUGGGUGUGUCCCAGGCAGCUUCUGGGGUCUGGAACCUCAGUCGUUUUCAGGUGCAGUCCUGCUAGCUUGAGCUGGAGGAGCCAGCCUGCAUUUCCCUGAGAUGAGAGUUUUUCCAUGAAACUCUUAGAAGUAAGGACAUUUUGCUUCCAGAUUAUCCAUUGACUCAUACUGCCCGUCUGGGCAAGGAAGUCCAUUCCGAGAG